Long non-coding RNA from Dama dama (fallow deer), 1366 nucleotides. RefSeq lists it as uncharacterized. Lineage: Eukaryota; Metazoa; Chordata; Mammalia; Artiodactyla; Cervidae. The record is from RefSeq and is a predicted model, not a curated record. The transcript has 5 exons.
UGCCAAAGACUUUUCUGAAGUGCUUGUACUGCUUGAUGGAUCAGAGGAUUCGUGCAGAGGAUUUUUAGAUGGUUAGGAAAUAUUUCAGACCAACGUGAUGUGCAAUCCUUGAAGCUUUCAGUUCAGAUGAGUGUUAUUAACAGCAACCUUUAGAGUACAUCGGGGAUUAACUUAAUUUUUUGUGUGAUUGGAGAAGAAAUGGACAGCCUCUAUAGGAUUGGUUUUUCACUGGAGUGUUCCAGGUGUCAAUGGGAAACAGUUCUGACAACCCUACCCCAAAGAGGAAAGGUGUUUGGAUGCCAAGCAGCCCCCAAAUGACGAAUGUCCAUUAAAAUCAGUUAAAUGUGAAGAUUCAGGAAGAAGAGGUCCAGUGAAGAAAUAAAGCUGAAGGAGAGACCAGAUGGCCAAUUCUCUUCUGAGUCACUUGCAUUUUGUUUAUUUCUCUUUUUGAUGAAUUUCUCUGAGUACACAACAGGCUGAAUUGGCAUGUCAUGAGAUACACAGCCACAGAAAUACAAAUGUCAUUUCCAUCCUGGGUCAGCAGAAAUACAUAUUCUAGAUCAGCAUUCAGCCUGGAGUUAAAAUGUAUGGUAUUUUGAUAGGACUGAUUUAGUAGUUUUUAAAUCAAAAGACCUGUUGGUAUGUUGAAACUAGAUUAUUGUAGAAUUCUCCUGUUUAAUCCUGUUUAAUAUUCUAUUUAGGCCUUUUUUGGGGGGUGAGGUGUUCAUUACCAACCAAUCCUGUUUGCCCAGGAUUACAUAGUCUGUGUCCUGGCAAGUAGCUCAGUGUAUCCAGCGACAACAGGCACUUUUAAUUUACCUAAGGCCUAGCUACUUUGUUUUCAGUCUUUCACCAGAUCUGUGAAAAUGUUUUUUUUCUAUAAUCUAAUCCCUUAAUAUACAUCAAGUUGCAAGAGAGAAAUAUUUUUAGAAGCAUAAGGCUGAUUUACUCAUUGGUUUGGAAUGUUCACAUUUUCUUUUUUGAUGUAUAUCAGAUUCUAAGAGGUGAAAUAGAUAAACAAUGAAAUUUUUACUUCCAUAUUUUUGAGAAAAAAUAUUUUAAGAUUAGCUAUUACUUUAGAAUUUAUUUUUAAAUCAUAAUAUGAAAGCUUUUUAUUUUAAAUUAUUGUUCUCUUUCCUUUGAUUUUCAGUAUUAGAAAAUAUUACAUCAGUAUGAGUCUGUAUGCUUCAGAUAUGAGCUUUUCUGUGUAUUCAUCUGCUAUUGCUUAUUAUCUUUUAACUGUGUUUGAAGACUUGUGAAGAAAUUCUGCCAAAGGAUUAAUGUAUGAAGGGAAUUCAUACCAAAUGAUAUUAUAGAAAAAUAUAUUGGAAUAUUGGAAAAUAAAACUAAUAUUCUUAUAAACAAA